Molecule: non-coding RNA, 73 nt
Organism: Triplophysa rosa
Lineage: Eukaryota; Metazoa; Chordata; Actinopteri; Cypriniformes; Nemacheilidae
Source: the annotation of a RefSeq genome assembly
GGGCUUGUGGCUUAGUGGUUAUAGCGCACGCUUGAUAAGCGUGAGGUCGGUAGUUCAAUUCUACCCAGGCCCA